GCCACAACUGGCACCCAACGUGGGGCCCUCAGCACUCACCUCGCCCGGCAAGGGUUUCAGACGCGUCACUCAUCCGCUUCGCGGAUCCCGGUGAGUAUUUUUCAUUGUGGGCUGGUGGACACUGGAGCUGACGUUACGGUGAUUCGUGAUCCGGAGUGGCCGUCAUACCCCUCUGCCUGGGCUACUUACUGAAGGCAAUGCGCGCGCUGAUCGCGCGUUACAUGGUCAGGUAAAUUCCCUCUUCUCUGACCCCAUUGAAAGCCAUUCCUUUUUUCAUCAGUCUGCCUCUGUUUUGGCCCGACAGUUUCACAUUCCUGCUGAUCAUGCAUGUUCUAUUGUUCGUUCCUGCCCCAACUGUGCUGCUGCUGCCCCUACCUUUUUUUUAUGCCGUUAACCCCAGAGGUACCGCAGCGAAUCAGCUGUGGCAAAUGGCUGUCACUCAUGUGCCACAAUUCCGCCCCUAUUCGUUUUUACAUGUUUCCAUUGAUACCUAUUCGGGAUUCCUCUGGGCAACCCCACAGCGUGGGGAAGCCACUCCUAAAGUUAUUCACC
Molecule: non-coding RNA, 552 nt
Organism: Caretta caretta (loggerhead turtle)
Lineage: Eukaryota; Metazoa; Chordata; Testudines; Cheloniidae
Source: RefSeq, a predicted model, not a curated record